UGGACACUCUCAGGGUGGACCAUGGUGGAGAGCAGAGGUUAAAACCUGGUCUGAGGAAGUAUUUCUCUCAACUUGAACUGGACACAAACUCAAUGAACAGAAGACUCAAACUGUCCAACAACAACAGGAAGGUGACACGUGUGGAGGAAGAGCAGCCGUAUCCUGAUCAUCCAGACAGAUUUGAAGGCUGGCCUCCUCAGCUGCUGUGUAGAAAUGAUCUGAGUGGUCGAUGUUACUGGGAGGUCGAGUGGAGCGGAGGUGUUUCUAUAUCAGUGAGUUACAGAGGAAUCAGGAGGAGAGGAGACAUGAAGGAGUGUGUGUUUGGACGGACUGAUCAGUCCUGGAGUCUGGACUGCUCUUAUCAAGGUUACUAUGUCUGGCAUAAUGACAGGAAAACAUCCACCUCCUCCUCCUCAUCCUCCUCCUCCUCUGGUAGAGUAGCAGUGUAUGUGGACUGUCCUGCUGGCUCUCUGUCCUUCUUCAGAGUCUCCUCUGACUCUCUGAUCCACCUCUACACCUUCAACACCACAUUCUCUCAACCUCUCUAUGCUGGAUUUUCACUCUGGUGGUCUGGUUGUUCAGUGAGUCUGUGUCCUCUGUAGGAAGGACGGUCUCUGUCUCUGACAGCAGUCCUGUCAGCACCAAUCAGAGAUCAGAGAACAUCAGUGGAGUUCAGCAGGGUUCACAGACGGAGCCUCCAACACUUUGUAAAUAUGUGGUCAGUUUAAGUUUCAGGACAUUUUCUAACCUCCUCAAGUCUUUGUCAGCAACAGUGGAGACGAUGAGGACAGGACUCUUCUGAUCACAGUUUGACGUUUGAGUUGUUGAUGUUGGAUUGUAAAUGUGAACUGAAUCAGUGUUCUUGUGCAAGUUUCCAAAAAUAAAUCCUUGAUUUCAUUUCCUUUAGGAGUUUCUGAAGUUAAGACUCAACAAGUUCUUUGAUCUCUUUCUUUGUAAUGUCAUGGUGUGGCGUCCACUGUGGGAGAAGACACUCGUCUGUCUCCUCCUUGACCACUUCCACAUAUUUUCUUUGAACUUAUAUCCAGUUAUCCUGUUAAAAUGUGGUGAAGGUUCAUUUUCUGUGUUUCAAACAGUCCUUGUGUUUUGGUUCAGCCCAGCCGGUCCUGAUUGGACCAGUCUGGUCUCAGCUGGACUGAUUGAAGGAGAGUCUGACUGAGAGUCUGAGUCUGUCAGUCUGCUGACAGGCUGGAAGUGAAGCUCUUUUUAACGCUGAUGGACAAAUGAAGCUUUCUGAAGCUCUGAUGCUGGAUGGAAGCUUUUCUACACCGUCCUCUUUGGCGCCACCUGGUGGCCAAAAGUCUGAAGAGCAGCUUGAAUGAACUGCUCCAUGAUGGUUCCCCAGAGUUCAGUUCACUGCUUCAGAAAGCAGAUCAAAUCCUCUGCUCUCAGAAUGGAAGGUCACUCAAGGUCAUCUGACUUUAAACCAAUAAAAACACACGACUCAAACCCAAACACAGCAUUUAACAAAUAUAGUUUCUUAAAAAGUCUGCAGCUCAUUAAUAUUCUUUGAGUCCAGAAGCUCAGAGAAAGAUUAAAUAAAUGUAGCUCAUUUGCCUCAGUGGAAUAUUGACAUUUUCUGAAAUCUUUUAUUUUCUCUAAACACCAUUAACACAGUAAAGCAAAAUUUCCCCACAAAAUUAAAAGAUUGCAUGUAAAGUAAACUCUGUGCAAUGGAAUGAUUAUCGGAAACAUUUUGAACAUUGACACAUUUCUGAGGUUGAUUUCACACAUUUUUGACACUUCAUUAAAGGAGAAUUCCACCUUUUUUAGUUCUUUUUUAAAGAGUUGUGAGUUCCUGGAAAGAUCAGCCAGAAAAUAAACAAUGAGAGGUUUUGAAUUCCUGAAAUCGACGGCGCUUCCCUUUAACUGUCACUGACAGAAAGGUGGAGGAACAUGAGACUCUGGUGAAUCAACACAACAAUACAUUCCUUUAGUGGAGUCAGCAGAUUAACAUUCAGCUAAAGACGGAAUUUGGUGUUGAGCAGCAGAUCAGAACUUAUAAAACUCUUUAAAAAUCAACGUUUCCAAAACUUUUACCUGCAGCCAAUAUUCUUAACCACGUCCUUUUCAACAUCACUUCAAUACAACAACUCUGCUAAAAUAGAUGAAUUAAAUCUUAAAUGGUGCACAACCGUAAACAUUUAAAUUAAAGAUGCUACAAUUUUGAUGAUAUUUUAAUGAUUUUAAAGUUUAAUUCAUAUUUUAAUCCCUGGUUCAAACUCCUCUAAUAUCUUAAUUCAUAAUGAACAACAAAGGCAGAUUUAGUCUGAACUUUGUGAUUAAUUCAGAAAUUCUUCAAGGAAAAUGUAUUUUACAGAUAAAGAGGUGUAGUCACAAAUUAAACAAGUCAUAAAAAAACUAAUCCUGACUAUCCAGCCUCCUUUUGUCUAAAAUACAUAAAUUUAAACAGGAAAUGUUUUUAUCUGACAGUGUUUGUUCAUUUUUUCUGAACUCAAUCUGUGGCGAUCACAGUAAAUUCUUUAAAUGAGAAAACUGAACUGAAGGCUGGAAGAGACUAAAGAGCUUUGCUUUCAUAACCUCUGAGAUUUACGUGCUCACAGCUUUUCUAGAGAUGUCUGGAGCAGAAAGCAGUUUGAUACUCCAGGAACUUUGUAUCUGUGAUGGGUGUGUUUGAAUAAUGGCGUCCAUUAGAGAGACAAGACUUAGUUUAGAGUUUGCCUCCAAGCUGCCUCCAAGUUUCGACUGUGGUUCCCAUCAGGCUUUGAGACCUGGUCACAUGAGGAAACUACCUCUGCUUGCGUGUAGAUAAGCUCGUCAGUUCAAACAAAAAGGCAAACAUGAAGCUCCAGACAGAUUCUCCACCUCCAGCCUCUCAGUCAUCAGAAUCACACAAUCUGUUUCUGCGAUCACAGCCCGUCCUCCAGUCUCCCCACCAGGGGGCGCAGUGCGCGGCUGCACAGCCCAGUCAGCCGCAAUAGUAUGUGUCUGCAGAGCCGGAGGCAGCACUUUCAGGACCGCACUGUGAGGACCGCGCUGCGCCCCCUAUUGAGCCAUAGUUGAAUAAACGGAACCGCACCGUCAGGACCAGAGUCCUGCACGGGUCCAAUUUUCAAGACCCGCCCCGGCCCGACCCGGGGACGUACGAACCCGCAACCGAACUGCAAACCCGCGCAUCAGCACGAUGAGUACCGCGACCCGAUCUGACCCGUUGAAACACGACCCGCAGCCCGACCCGUAACCCGUAUUUAAAGUCAUCAUUUUGGGUCACAGUGUCUGCAUCAUGCAGCACAUCGCCACAGUUCAGCUGCCAGUGACUAAAUAACACCUGAAUGAAGCAGCUCUUCCAAUAAAAGCCUGACUUCAGUCCUGAAUCAUCAGCCCUGCUGUUCUUCUCCCAUACAACUGUAAAAACACUCGUUUGUUACGUUUAAUGCUUUUAAACUUUUAAUCUCUUAAAGGUAACUUUUCGUGUGUAAUAGACUUACUUUCUGUCCAGACUUGAGCGGCGUUCAGCAGUUACGAGCCGGGACAUGUUUAGAAUCCAUCGAGGAGAAAAGUAAUCCAUCAGGGAAACACGGAGUAAUGUUUGAACGCUUCAGGAACAUUACAAAGUGAUAGUUGUGCGUUUUAUCCAUUUAUUUCUCAAAUAUCUAAAUAGCUAUUAACUGUUUUGGAAGUGGCGCUUGUUAGACGGCGGCAGACCGUUUGAUGCUCUCGUCCAAUCAAAAAUUGUGCUAUUAGAUGGCGAAACGCGAUUAAACAGCUGAGCCAAUGAAGCAACCCUCAGAGAGUAAAUAAUGAAGAUAGUUUUCUGUAGUUUGCUCAACUCACUGAAAAGCCCGGAAAUAGAUGCAGAAGAGCGGCGGUGCUGCAGACAGUCGCAGCGGAUGGAUCACGUCACAACGUUUUUAUUUUAUUUAUUAUUAUUUUAUAUUGAUUCUCAUGAGUCAAUCUACAACCCGCGACCCGAAACGCAAGCUAUUGUUCCCACCCAGAUCCGAACCCGAGAAAAAAAUAAAGCUUUUAAAAACCACCCGCAAAUCAGCUGUUUUUGCGGGUACCCAUCGGGUACCCGACCCAGUGCAGGACUCUGGUCAGGACCGUGCUGCGCCCCCUAGUGAGCCAUAAUUGAACGACUGGAGACCGCACCAUGAGGAACCCACUUUAGCGCCCCCUAUCGAGCUAUAGAUGAACAACCGCACCGUCAGGACCGCUCUGUCAGACCCACGCUUUAGCGUCCCAAUCGAGACCAAGUUGAAGAACCGAACAGCACCGCGAGGACCGUUCUUUUUCUGGACAGAAUCCCCUGCCACCUGCUUUAGAAUGUGCAUGUAGUUCAACACAGGUAUCCUACAUAAUUUACUGUUUUAAGGAUGAUUUCUCUCCAAAUAAACCAGCAGUUCAAAAAGUUACUGUUGUGAAGGAUGAUUACUGAAAAUAUUUGUACAAUUUAAAAUGUUUAAGGAGCAAAGUACAAAUUCAUGUACUGUUUAUAAUAAACGGUUUACUAAGCAAAAUACUGAUUGGUUCUUAUCAAGACAUUUUAGCUGCUCAGUUGAUGCUCACCUGCCAGUGGAAGCAUUAAUCACCAUGAUGAAUGACCGCUGAGAGUGAGUACUUACUGUUGAUUGUUCUAUUACUUUAACGUGACAACACAAAGUAACGUUUGUUUAGAACGUUUUAUUCUUUGAUGUUUGUGACAUCUUGCGCCAGUGGUGAUGUUGUUAUGUUCGCACCGCCCCGUUGGGGAGGGGAUUGUUGUUGUUGUGGCUCUGGCUGUUCAUUCGUUACAUGGCUGCUGCCUCAUGCUGUCAGCUGUGUCGUGUGAUUCGUUACCGUGUCCUCCUUCAUUACUGGUGUUAAGUUCUGUGGCACAGCUUUUGUUAACUUCCUAAACUGCAAGAAACAAGUCGUUUGCUUGAGCUCAACUUACAGUCUAACUACCAGUGUUAUAACAGCAUUUGUACAACCAAGUUUGUUCACUGAUUUGUCUAACUGCAUCAUAGCCAUAUUUUAGUAGAUUUAGCUCCAAAUGAUGAUGAUGAACUCCAGCCAGCAUCUUAAUUAACACGUCAUUAGAUGGUAUAAGUAUGUCCAAAUGUCUCUGACAAUUUAAUAAUAUAUAAUACCAUAUAAAUAUUUUAUUUCAAGAUAUUUUUAUCUAUGCUAGUAUUUUUUUUUUUUUGUAUUUUCAUGUGUCACAGUAGAAGAAAACAGAUAUUAAUUUAGCUGCAUUACUGUUAGUGGUGCUCCUGUUGCAACAUUUACUUCAUAGUUAAUCGUUUCACCAUCACAUUAUGUUAUUUUGUUGAGGCAUUUAUUUUUAGCAAUCAUUGUUGAUGUAGGAUUAUUCUUCACCGUCUAUUGGACCUCCUGUGUCAUGUUAUAGCGUUAUCCAGAAUAAAUCUAGUAAAGUACAUUCUUGAUGUUGUCAGGUUCUUGGAUUAGGCCCAAUUCAUGUGUAGUUCUGCUUGUAAUGAUGUAAAAAUGCUCAUUUCUCUUAUUUUGAAGAUCCAUACAACAAUUCAACAAGGGCCAUCCCCGCCUACUGACCAGGCGCAGCUCUUGUGAUCACUGUCCAUUCUGCAGCUCCACUUUGUUCCAGCCAACAACGUUGAGUAAAGUCAAAGCCCAUUUAGACAGCCAUUUUAAAAGAGCUGUUAUCCGUGAAUGUGAGGUCUUCAAACUAUUUCUAAUGAAAUACAAAUGGUGUAAAAAAUGUAAACGUUAUGACCCAUGAAUGAAUACGAACAAUUUAGUCAGUAGGUGGCGCUCACUUUUUGGCAUGACAUGUUUACAAUUAAAAAUAUAUUUUGCCUUAGUGAAAAGGUGAAAUAUGCCCACUUUGUUGGAUAUGUCCAUGCUAUGUAUACUUAUGUAUGUUGAUGUUUCUCUGCAUCCCUCAGAAUGUGAGGUCACAGAUUUUGCAGCAGGAGUCGGCACCUCAUUUAUUCAGUUUUGUUUAUAAAUGUAUAUAAAAAUAAUAAAAUAUAAAUGUGUCUCCAGAGUUGUCCUUGUUGAGCACCUCUUUUCACCUUUUUAAACUACCUUGUUUGAAAUGUAGAGAUAUAAUUCCAUAUGAUUUCCAUAAUUCUUCAAAUGGCAGUCUUGGAAACCAAGUAAUCAAUAUAAGCAAUAUUUUGGUUGAAAUAACCUUUAAUUUUUACCCUUUUUUUGUUCAAAUAACGUUUGUAAAUUACAUAUACACCUUACAUGUUGUAUGU
Salarias fasciatus (jewelled blenny) is the source of this 6206-nucleotide long non-coding RNA. RefSeq lists it as uncharacterized. NCBI's taxonomy places the organism in Eukaryota, Metazoa, Chordata, Actinopteri, Blenniiformes, Blenniidae. The transcript has 3 exons. The record is from RefSeq and is a predicted model, not a curated record.